CUCGGCCUUUCUAACCGGCGGAGACCAGGACAUCCCUUUCCCACGCCACCCGCCCCCGUCCCGGGUUGACCUCUUCCCAGUGGGAGCCCCGCCCUGAGUGAAGUAUGGUAAUCUGUCCCUCCUCCCAGCCGACAGAGGGCGCGAGAGCGCAUAGCGCGAAGCCUGAGACGCUGUUAGGUACGGAAGUGAUGUCAUUCACCGGAAAUGCACUAGGUUUGGAGGACCGGGCUGAAAGGUAAAUAUCACAUUCUCACAGCAAAGGGAGUGUGAAACAUGAGGAAGGCUCCAGGCAAGAUGUGUAUUCAAGCUCCAUGCCAGCUGCUGUCAGUCCCACAGCCCAGAGGGCCCUCCCCACAGACCUGGCUCUGAUGAGAUAAUGACCUCAACAUCGCCAGCCACAUCUCCCAGGGCUUCUGCCACCUUUGGCAGCAGAAGAAAGUUCCAGAAGAAGAACCUGCAUUUGCUACCCUCUGCCCCAAGAAAGAGAAGCAGGAGAUGGGGGAGUCCAGAUCUGCCUAGACAUCUGAAAUGAAAGAAGUCUUAGAAAUAGUCUCACAGAUGGAGGGCUGAUAGCCCUGCAGCAUGAGAAUAUCUGUAAAGCAUGAUGUUGGGGGACCCCCAAAGGGGCAAGGGAAUAACCCCUUGGGAUUGCCCUCUGAGUCUCUCAAACCCAGAGUUCUCAGCCUAUUCAUUAUCAGAUUGCAAAAACUAGGCCCAGCCUAAAAAAAGAUAUCUUUGCUUCUGGCAAGCACAUAAUUCAUUCCAAACAUGUGGUUCACUGCCUCAUUAGAUGACCUCAAGGACAUGUGAAGGCCCAGGACUGACUGUGAUACUGAGGCAGGAUAGCAACAUACCCCUAAAAGGAGCUCAAGUAAGGAUAUAAAAACCAUCAUAGUUCCCAGCAGCUCAGGAGACUGAGUUCAAAGCCAGCCUCAGCAAAAGCAAGGCACUAAGCAACUCAGUGAGAUCCUGUCUCUAAAUAAUAUACAUAAUAGAGCUGCGAAUGUGGCUCAGUGAUUGAGUGCCCCUGAGUUCAAUCCCCAGUACCAUAAGAAAAAAAAAUCAUAGUGAAACAUCCAGAAUAGGUAGACCCAUAGAGCUUAGAGCUGAAAGUAGAUUAGUGUUGCCAGGGGCUGGCAGAAGGGAAGAUGGAGAGUGACUGCUGAUGGGUUUUUAUUGGGAGUGAUGAGAGUAUUCUAGAAUUAUUAGUGUGAGAGUUGCACAACUCUGAAUGUACUGAACACUGUUCACUUGUACACGUCAACAGGGUGAGUUUUAGCCAGUGACUUGGAAGGCUGAGGCAGGAGGCCAGUGUGGGCAACUUAGUGAGGCCCUGUCUCAAAAUAAAAUAAAAUAAGGCUGAGGAUGUAGCUUAGUGGUAAAGCACCCCUAGAUUCAGACCCCAGUACUCUGAAAGAAAAAAAGUGAAUUUUUAAAAAUUUUAAACCAGAAACUAUAUCACUGCCAUGGUAUCAUUGAUUUAAUGUUAUGAUUUUUCUAUACAAGUUAAAAAUAAAGAGCCUGGCACAAUGGCACACACCUGUAAUCCCAGGGCCUUGGGAUGCUCAGGCAGGAGGAGGACAAAAAGU
Sciurus carolinensis (gray squirrel) is the source of this 1589-nucleotide long non-coding RNA. RefSeq lists it as uncharacterized. The record is from RefSeq and is a predicted model, not a curated record. NCBI's taxonomy places the organism in Eukaryota, Metazoa, Chordata, Mammalia, Rodentia, Sciuridae. The transcript has 3 exons.